CGAAGGAUCCAAGCGUUGUCCGGAUUUACUGGGUUUAAAGGGUGCGUAGGCGGACUAAUAAGUCAGUGGUGAAAGCCGGUAGCUUAACUAUCGAACUGCCAUUGAAACUGCUAGUCUCGAGUACGGUUGAGGUGGCUGGAAUGUAUCAUGUAGCGGUGAAAUGCUUAGAUAUGAUACAGAACACCAAUUGCGAAGGCAAGUCACUAAACCGUAACUGACGCUGAGGCACGAAAGCGUGGGGAGCAAACAGGAUUAGAUACCCUGGUAGUCCACGCCCUAAACGUUGAUAACUCGCUGUUGGCGAUACACAGUCAGCGGCUAAGCGAAAGCGGUAAGUUAUCCACCUGGGGAGUACGGUCGCAAGAUUG
Molecule: ribosomal RNA, 368 nt
Filed under: uncultured organism
Description: bacterial SSU rRNA
Rfam family: Bacterial small subunit ribosomal RNA
Source: RNAcentral